RNAcentral lists this long non-coding RNA (1267 nucleotides) under Strigops habroptila (Kakapo). RNAcentral's name for it is "lncRNA (ENSSHBG00005019716.1)". Lineage: Eukaryota; Metazoa; Chordata; Aves; Psittaciformes; Psittacidae. The record is from RNAcentral.
UGCUGGAGAUUAUAUAUACAUGGAACACUCAGGCCCAAGAAUGCAAAUUCUUCUGGGCAAACAAUCCAGGGGGUUUGUGGUAUUUAUUCUACCAAGCACUAUACAUACAAUAUUGUAAGGCUCAGAAUAAAAGUUUUAUAUUUUUAACUGUUGCUUUCAAGCUGAACCUCAAAAGAAGCUAUGCUUUAGUUCAAGGCUUGAACUUGCUGUUGAAAAGAAAAUCAACAAAGCAAUUUUCUUUAUAGUGAGUAACUACAUCUACCUAUGCCUUUGAGUGUAUGAUAAGAAGAUUAACAGAGUCUCAAGCAACUGGAGUUUUCCACUGCAGUUUUGUCCUCCUUUGCUCUAGUAAUCAUUCAAGCUUAGCAGCAUUUGUUAAAUUCAGAUACAGGUCAACUGUAUUUCGAUCAAGUUCAAAGAAAUAGGUGCAGCUGAUUGAGCCAUAGUAUAAAAAUAGAAAUGUACACAGAAAAGAGUGCCUGGAUGACGCCUGUAUUGAUAAAUGUGAUAAUAUUUUGCUUCUCAGCUGAUGAAAUAGCAGGUUUCUAACUAUGGAGUAAACUAUCUUUCUGAAAAUUCUAGUUAGAUGGUAAGAAAUCUGCCUUAUUGAAAAGUAUUUUGCCAAGAAACAUCUUCUGUAAGGUAAGUUAGAUACAGAUGUCAUUCCUCAUCUGCAAGUAAACGGAUAAAUUAAAAGGAAUAUGUAUUUUUGAUCUGAUCACCUUGUGUAAGGUCAUUUUGGUUGGUUUAUAAUGCAUCUGCAGCACUACAAUAAGCAUUAAGUUCAGGGUUGUCAGAUUUGCCACUAAUUAAUAGAUCGAAAACAAUAAGACAUGAGGCAAGCCUAUAGGAAUCAGGCCCAGUGUAUGUUGGUUAGUGUAAAGCCAUGCACACAGAAAUAAGUGUUUUGAAGUGACCAGGACCUUGGCUGAUUGGAUCUGGGCGCUGUAAAAAGGCCUGGUUGCUAGCAAACGUUGAGAGCUUAACUGUGGAAACAAGAGAGUUUUCCUAUAAUUAUUUCAAUACAGGCUUAAAUCAGCUAAAACCACAAGUCAUUAAAAUGGGCUGGGAUUAUUUUUAUUUUUUUUUUAAUAAACAUUAUAAUAGACUCUGAAAGCUGAAGAAGGUGACAUAAUAGCAGUGGACUGCACCAAUCUCCUGUUUCCCACUGAACAGCCUCUUGCUGCACAAGUCAUGUCCCUGAAAUCUGUAUGAAUCGGGGGAGAGGGGGGAAGAGGGAAGGAAAAGGAGGCAGAAAGGUCCUACA